This 764-nucleotide long non-coding RNA is filed under the name Sinocyclocheilus grahami. RNAcentral's name for it is "lncRNA (ENSSGRG00000030761.1)". The record is from RNAcentral. Lineage: Eukaryota; Metazoa; Chordata; Actinopteri; Cypriniformes; Cyprinidae.
UCAGGUCUGAUUGGCUGAUGAUCUGUCUGAUCCACAGGUACUUUUUCUGUCCUUUCCAUCAUGGUCGGUACAGUGACUGGUGAUGUUGUGUUGGCAGGCCAGGCAGUGGAGCAGAGAGUGCUGAGAUUGUGGCUGAAAGUGUCAAGAGUUGCCUUUGCAGCUCAGUUGACCAUUCUGUGUGGACUGAUACAGGUCAUUCACACACAAACUGUAUUAAUUCUGUAUUGGUGUGUGUGUUUGUGUAUAAAUCUCUCUCCCUAUGUGGAUGGGUGUGUCGGUGGUUGUCUCAGCCAUUGGUCAGUGGAUACACUACAGCAGCUGCUGUCCAUGUGAUGGUUCACCAGCUGCCUUUACUGAUGGGCAUCUCCACAGUCAGACACAGAGGCAUCUUUGCUGUGUUCUGGGUCAGAAUGAGCACUGUGUGAUUUAUAUCUGUGUUCAUUUCAGAUGUUAAAUGUACACACAGUAUGUGUGUCCACCAGAUGUUUUCAAACAUUGUGACUGGAAUCAGGAGAGUGUUACUGGCGACACUGGUAGUGUCCUUUGUCUCCCUGGUGGUACUUGUUGGUGGAGAGAUGGUGAAUUCACUCUGGAGCACUCGAUUUCUAAUUCCAUGGGAGUUGGUACUGAUUAUCUUUGCCACUCUGUCAUCAGUGCAGUUUGAUCUGUCCGGUCAGUAUGGAAUACAGAUUGUUGGACCCAUACCAACCAGAGUGUUGGAUUUUCUUUACAAAACCAAUUAUCAGGAAGUAUUUAGGUGCUAA